CACACACACACACGCACACACACACCCUCCGCGAGGACGUCGUAUUUCACUCAGAACUUAACCAACUUUGGAUCGAGGAGGUUAAUUUUUCCUCCACUCUAGCCGACUCUCAUCCGUUAGGAUUCCGUGAAGGAUCAUGAGGAAAAGAGGACAGACUUAGGACCUGCACGCGUUCUUCCCCGCAUUUAAUGUGAACCAGCUGCAGAACGCAUACCAGCUAAACCAGUGCCAUCAAACUCACAGCACACAUAAACCGACCUGAGAUCUGAGAUGACCUGAGAUCCGUAAGAGAUCACAGCCCCAACCCAUCCUGAAGUUCAGGGAUCACAAAACAACACAUUAUACAUCCAAGGUUCAGCUGCCCUACCAAACAACUCCUGGGCAGAUCCCCCGCAAGUUAAAGAUAGAGAGAUGCCGAAGGGAGUACUUGAAGUUCAACUUGGAACAGCAUGUUCCAGUCACCUCAUGAGCAGCAACGAGCCUGUGACUACACCAGACCAUUCUGUGUCACCCAUAGACUGUAAAUAUUGUUUUCACCUUACCUCCCCCUAGAGGUCAGUCUGUGUUGCCCUUAUGGUAUUCGUUACGUUUUUAGACGUAGCUUUUGUGACACGGGCCCUUUCCGAAUUGUCACAGUUCAGUAGGCAGUACGUACUAUUCAGUAGGGAGUUUCAGUAUACUGAACUUUUGUGGUCAUUCAGUAUGCAUAUUUUGGGUCCACUUCAGUAUACUGAACAUUUCAGUAUGGAUACUAACUUCCUUUCAGCCCCUGGGCUCAGGCAAGAAAUGUGAGUAUAAGUGUUUAAGUGCUUCUGCUGUCAUUCUCUCCUCAUUCAGUUUAAUAUCAGUCCAUCUGAGUUGAAAUGUAAACCAACUACUCGGUUGAAUAAUUGACAUGUCAUGUGUGCAGUGUGGAAAAGUGUUUAUGCGACCUGGAGAAGGAGGUCAAGCUAGAUUAUGACCAAACAAUGAAUGGCAUGAUCUUUGACAAAGUUGUUCAGAGCCAUCCAGAGGAUUUUUCACACAUCAAAUUGCCACAGAAGGACCCCGAGUCUGUACCCCAAAGUGGUAAGGCUGUUAGUCUUGAAUCCAUUACUUUGAGUUAAUAUUAAACAAAUGAAUUACCACCAAAUACAAUUGUUAACAUUGUUUCGUAUUUUUCUUUGCACAGGUUGCGUUCCAGUACCUUACUUUGACUAUAAGAGAAAACAAGCUGCUUUUGUCUUCCAUUCCCUGCUAACAAAGCCUGAGGUGAUCUGUGUGUUAUCUAUAAUAUGGC
Molecule: long non-coding RNA, 1279 nt
Organism: Labrus mixtus (cuckoo wrasse)
Lineage: Eukaryota; Metazoa; Chordata; Actinopteri; Labriformes; Labridae
Exons: 4
Source: RefSeq, a predicted model, not a curated record